AACGAACGCUGGCGGCAUGCCUAACACAUGCAAGUCGAACGAGACCUUCGGGUCUAGUGGCGCACGGGUGCGUAACGCGUGGGAACCUGCCCUUAGGUUCGGAAUAACUCCCCGAAAGGGGUGCUAAUACCGGAUAAUGUCUUCGGACCAAAGAUUUAUCGCCUUUGGAUGGGCCCGCGUUGGAUUAGCUAGUUGGUAGGGUAAAAGCCUACCAAGGCGACGAUCCAUAGCUGGUCUGAGAGGAUGAUCAGCCACACUGGGACUGAGACACGGCCCAGACUCCUACGGGAAGCAGCAGUGGGGAAUAUUGGACAAUGGGCGAAGGCCUGAUCCAGCAAUGCCGCGUGAGUGAUGAAGGCCGUAGGGUUGUAAAGCUCUUUUACCCGGGAUGAUAAUGACAGUACCGGGAGAAUAAGCUCCGGCUAACUCCGUG
Molecule: ribosomal RNA, 433 nt
Filed under: uncultured bacterium
Lineage: Bacteria
Description: partial 16S ribosomal RNA
Rfam family: Bacterial small subunit ribosomal RNA
Source: RNAcentral